AUUGAACGCUGGCGGCGUGCCUAACACAUGCAAGUCGAGCGGUAACAGGUGUAGCAAUACAUGCUGACGAGCGGCGAACGGGUGAGUAAUGCUUUGGAAUCUUCCCAGUAGUGGGGAAUAACCAGUCGAAAGAUUGGCUAAUACCGCAUACGUCUGUAAAGGGAAAGCGGGGGACUCGCCUCUUCUUCGGAAGAGAGGCCUCGCGCUAUUGGAUGAGCCAAAGCGGAUUAGCUAGUUGGUGGGGUAAUGGCCUACCAAGGCGACAAUCCGUAGCUGGUCUGA
Molecule: ribosomal RNA, 282 nt
Filed under: uncultured bacterium
Lineage: Bacteria
Description: partial 16S ribosomal RNA
Rfam family: Bacterial small subunit ribosomal RNA
Source: RNAcentral